ACACAAAUGAGGAGUCGCACAAUAAAACGAAACGGCCGUCCAGUGU
Molecule: non-coding RNA, 46 nt
Organism: Schistosoma margrebowiei
Lineage: Eukaryota; Metazoa; Platyhelminthes; Trematoda; Strigeidida; Schistosomatidae
Source: Rfam